This 346-nucleotide ribosomal RNA is filed under the name Corylophidae gen. n. sp. JAR. RNAcentral describes it as "partial 12S ribosomal RNA". The record is from RNAcentral. Lineage: Eukaryota; Metazoa; Arthropoda; Insecta; Coleoptera; Corylophidae.
UCUAAAUGUAAUUUUUAUUUCUAAAUUAGUAUUAGUUAAGUUCUUGAAAUUUAAAAAUUUUGGCGGUAUUUUAGUCUUUUCAGAGGAACCUGUUCUAUAAGUGAUAAUCCACGUUUAAUUGUACUUAAGUUAGAAAUUUGUAUAUCGUUGUAGUUUGAAUAUUCUAAAAGGAUUAAAUAUUCAAUAAAUUAAAUUUAAUUUAAAAUCAGAUCAAGGUGCAGUUUAUAUUUAAGAAGAAAUGGGUUACAAUAAAUUUAUUUAUGAAUUUUUUUUUGAAAAUUUAAUUGAAAUUGGAUUUGAAAGUAAUUAUAUUAUAUUUUUAUAAUGAUUAAGCUCUAAAAUAUGU